This is a long non-coding RNA of Culex pipiens pallens (northern house mosquito), 727 nucleotides long. RefSeq lists it as uncharacterized. The transcript is spliced from 2 exons. The record is from RefSeq and is a predicted model, not a curated record. Lineage: Eukaryota; Metazoa; Arthropoda; Insecta; Diptera; Culicidae.
CAUCGUCGUCCUCGUCGUUCGGCAAGAAUUCGGGAAAAAUAUCUAUCUCCGCCUUGCAACUUUGGCUUGGCGGCAGAAUCCGGAACUGGUGUUGGGCCGCAUUGGCUGUUCCUAUUUCGGAUACAGUUGGCGGCGGAACCAAAAUUGAAGUGUUGUGAGAAUCGAAAGCUUUCCACAAACGAGGUGGUUAGGAUUUGCAUCGGUUUGCUACAGAUAAUACCAGCACAAGAACCGGAAGGCAUCGAGAAGGAACCCCCGCAGAAAGUGACCAUCUUCAGAGAUAGUAUUGCCUGAAUAGAAAAAGCUUGAGAAGGAACUGGCAAAGCUGAAGAACCAAUAGCCAAGCCGAGCAGCGCAAGCUUGACGAAGCAUUCAGGCAAGUCUCUCUGACCCGUCGCCAAGGUGGUCAAAACGGAAAAAUAGUCCCGACAGGAAAAGCCCAGGGUCACCUUCCGGAUGAAGAAUCGUCUCCGAUGCUCAAGCUGAAAGCCCGCGUACGCCUCGAGUUAGACUUCACGAUGGAACCGCCUGAACAACAUAAGAUCAAGAGCAACCACGACUCUCUGGAGGAACCGCGACGCCGUGAAGGAUCUUAUCCAUCGAGUGACCCUCACGAAGAAGCUCAAUAAGAGGCUACCAACGCAAGACGCAUCCGGCUGCAACAUGUCAAGAAUGCUGUGAAGGAGAAGUCGUGUUUACAUGGCAUGAUCUCCAUGAAGAUUUUUUU